Non-coding RNA from Acetomicrobium mobile DSM 13181, 335 nucleotides. It matches the Rfam family "Bacterial RNase P class A". From Rfam's summary of the family: Ribonuclease P (RNase P) is a ubiquitous endoribonuclease, found in archaea, bacteria and eukarya as well as chloroplasts and mitochondria. Its best characterised activity is the generation of mature 5'-ends of tRNAs by cleaving the 5'-leader elements of precursor-tRNAs. Cellular RNase Ps are ribonucleoproteins. The record is from Rfam. Lineage: Bacteria; Thermotogati; Synergistota; Synergistia; Synergistales; Acetomicrobiaceae.
UGAGCAUCUCAGAUGACCGCGUCCCCCAGUGGGAUGAGGAAAGUCCGGGCUCCACAGGGCAAAGCGCUGGAUAACGUCCAGCAGGCGCGAGCCUCGGGAGAGUGCCACAGAAACAUACCGCUCUCUUUUGAGAGUAAGGGUGAAAAGGUGGGGUAAGAGCCCACCGGUCAUUGGGCGACCAAUGAGCCAGGCAAACCCCGCUUGGAGCAAGAUCAAAUAGGGAGGAAUGAGGUGGCCCGCUGACCUCCGGGUUGAUCGCUGGAGAAGGGGCGCAAGUCCCUUCCAAGAGAAAUGGUCAUCUUUACACAGAACCCGGCUUAUGAGAUGCUCGAGAU